RNAcentral lists this ribosomal RNA (494 nucleotides) under uncultured Schlesneria sp. Its description in RNAcentral is "bacterial SSU rRNA". It matches the Rfam family "Bacterial small subunit ribosomal RNA", at positions 897 to 1382 of the family's 1533-position model. The record is from RNAcentral. Lineage: Bacteria; Pseudomonadati; Planctomycetota; Planctomycetia; Planctomycetales; Planctomycetaceae.
AAACUUAAAGGAAUUGACGGGGGCUCACACAAGCGGUGGAGCAUGUGGCUUAAUUCGAGGCAACGCGAAGAACCUUAUCCUGGGUUUGACAUGUACGGAUUAACCCUGUGAAAGCAGGGCCACGCUCGCAAGAGUGGAACGUGCACGGGUGCUGCAUGGCUGUCGUCAGCUCGUGUCGUGAGAUGUCGCGUUAAGUCGCUAAACGAGCGAAACCCCUAUCUUUAGUUGCCAGCGCGUCAUGGCGGGGACUCUAAAGAGACUGCCGGUGUCAAACCGGAGGAAGGCGGGGAUGACGUCAAGUCCUCAUGGCCUUUAUGCCCAGGGCUGCACACGUGCUACAAUGGGGCGUACAAAGCGCCGCGAAGUUGCGAAACCAAGCUAAUCGCAAAAAGCGUCCCCCAGUUCGGAUUGAAGGCUGCAAUUCGCCUUCAUGAAGCCGGAAUCGCUAGUAAUCGCCGAUCAGCAUUGCGGCGGUGAAUGUGUUCCUGAGCCUU